CCUACGGGAGGCAGCAGUGAGGAAUAUUGGUCAAUGGACGAGAGUCUGAACCAGCCAAGUAGCGUGAAGGAUGACUGCCCUAUGGGUUGUAAACUUCUUUUAUAUGGGAAUAAAAUGUUCCACGUGUGGGAUUUUGUAUGUACCAUAUGAAUAAGGAUCGGCUAACUCCGUGCCAGCAGCCGCGGUAAUACGGAGGAUCCGAGCGUUAUCCGGAUUUAUUGGGUUUAAAGGGUGCGUAGGUGGAUUGUUAAGUCAGUUGUGAAAGUGUGCGGCUCAACCGUAAAAUUGCAGUUGAAACUGGCAGUCUUGAGUACAGUAGAGGUGGGCGGAAUUCGUGGUGUAGCGGUGAAAUGCUUAGAUAUCACGAAGAACUCCGAUUGCGAAGGCAGUUCACUGGACUGCAACUGACACUGAGGCUCGAAAGUGUGGGUAUCAAACAGGAUUAGAUACCCGAGUAGUC
RNAcentral lists this ribosomal RNA (460 nucleotides) under uncultured bacterium. RNAcentral describes it as "partial 16S ribosomal RNA". It matches the Rfam family "Bacterial small subunit ribosomal RNA", at positions 338 to 795 of the family's 1533-position model. The record is from RNAcentral.